AGUCUGACCGAGCAACGCCGCGUGAGUGAAGAAGGUUUUCGGAUCGUAAAACUCUGUUGUUAGAGAAGAACAAGGAUGAGAGUAACUGUUCAUCCCUUGACGGUAUCUAACCAGAAAGCCACGGCUAACUACGUGCCAGCAGCCGCGGUAAUACGUAGGUGGCAAGCGUUGUCCGGAUUUAUUGGGCGUAAAGCGAGCGCAGGCGGUUUCUUAAGUCUGAUGUGAAAGCCCCCGGCUCAACCGGGGAGGGUCAUUGGAAACUGGGAGACUUGAGUGCAGAAGAGGAGAGUGGAAUUCCAUGUGUAGCGGUGAAAUGCGUAGAUAUAUGGAGGAACACCAGUGGCGAAGGCGGCUCUCUGGUCUGUAACUGACGCUGAGGCUCGAAAGCGUGGGGAGCAAACAGGAUUAGAUACCCUGGUAGUCCACGCCGUAAACGAUGAGUGCUAAGU
RNAcentral lists this ribosomal RNA (449 nucleotides) under bacterium. RNAcentral's name for it is "bacterial SSU rRNA". It matches the Rfam family "Bacterial small subunit ribosomal RNA", at positions 380 to 821 of the family's 1533-position model. The record is from RNAcentral.